This 77-nucleotide small RNA is filed under the name Pseudomonas chlororaphis subsp. aureofaciens 30-84. RNAcentral describes it as "R1162-like plasmid antisense RNA". Lineage: Bacteria; Pseudomonadati; Pseudomonadota; Gammaproteobacteria; Pseudomonadales; Pseudomonadaceae. The record is from RNAcentral.
CGGCGCGGAUGCCGGUGGUUGAAACGCAGGCAGUGUCUAGCUCUUAUAUUUAUAAAAUAGAUAACAGAUAGAGAAAU